UUUAGAACUCGAGAUAUGAGCUGGAAACUGAACAGUGUCUGGGAUGCUAAACAAUUCCAACUUCUCCAUUGUUGCUACCAUUUAAACUCGAAAAUGGCACUUUUAAAUCUUGGACUCUUCAUGAAAGUUUUAAGCCUAUGUCGUAGCUUUCCAUU
Molecule: non-coding RNA, 155 nt
Organism: Populus trichocarpa (black cottonwood)
Lineage: Eukaryota; Viridiplantae; Streptophyta; Magnoliopsida; Malpighiales; Salicaceae
Source: Rfam